Molecule: ribosomal RNA, 949 nt
Filed under: Tornatellides boeningi
Lineage: Eukaryota; Metazoa; Mollusca; Gastropoda; Stylommatophora; Achatinellidae
Description: partial 16S ribosomal RNA
Source: RNAcentral
GCAUAAUGGUUAAACAAUAAUAAAUUUAAAUUAAUUUUUCUCGAUAAAAGAUGAUCUAUACACAAAAAUUUUUUAGAAAAUUAUUAUUUAUUGUUGCAUAAAUAUUAUAAUAUUUGUAUAUUAGUAGUGAAAAGCUUUCAAAUCUUUAGAUAUCUAGAUUUUAAGUAAAUGUAUUUAGUACAUGUAAUUUAAAUAAAUAGUGAUAAGAUUAUUUAUUAAAAGUAAAUAAUUUAUAUAAAAUAAUUAAUUAUAAAUUAUAUUAAUUUGUUUGUAUUAAAAUUUAUUUAUAUUUAGUUCUUUAAUACUACUUAAAUAUAUUACUUAAUAAAAUGUAUUAUAAAUAAUGUUUAAAUUAGUAUUAUAUUUUUACUUAAAAAAAAGGAACUCGGCAAAUAAUAUCAUUAACUGUUUAACAAAAACAUAGCUUAUUGUAUAAUUUAUAAUAAGUUAUUUCUGCCCUGUGAAAGUUUUUAACGGCCGCAGUACUUUGACUGUGCUAAGGUAGCAAAAUAAUUAGGCUUUUAAUUGGAGUCGGGAAUGAAAGAAAUUAAUAAUGAAAUACUGUCUUUAUUUUAUUUUUUAAAAAUUACUUAUAUGGUGAAAAUUCCAUUAAAAAAACCAAAAGACGAGAAGACCCUAAGAAUUAUUAACCUAAGUAAUAAUUUUACUUUUUUUUUUGUUGGGGCAACAUUAAUUAUAAAAAUUAAUUUUAAAUAUUUUACUUAAGAAAAUUUAUUUAAUAAGAAAUAAAUUACCUUAGGGAUAACAGCAUAAUUAUCAUUAUAGAUUAUGACCUCGAUGUUGGACUAAGGAAAAUAUAUAGUUAGCCAUUAUAUAUACAGGUUCUGUUCGAACUAUUUAUCCUUACAUGAUCUGAGUUCAGACCGGCGUAAGCCAGGUCAGUUUCUAUCUUUUAAAAAAUAUUUUGUAGUACGAAAGGGACCGUAGA